Molecule: ribosomal RNA, 280 nt
Filed under: Alexandrium margalefii
Lineage: Eukaryota; Dinophyceae; Gonyaulacales; Pyrocystaceae
Description: partial Bacterial large subunit ribosomal RNA
Rfam family: Bacterial large subunit ribosomal RNA
Source: RNAcentral
CCGGAUUACCAAACCUUCUCAAACUCCGAAUACCCAGAAGUUAUGCGUGGCAGACACACGGCGGGUGCUAACGUCCGUCGUGGAAAGGGAAACAACCCAGACCGCCAAUUAAGGCCCCUAAGUAAUAGCUAAGUGCGAAACGAUGUGGAGGUGCUGAGACAAUCAGGAGGUUGGCUUAGAAGCAGCCAUCCUUUAAAGAAAGCGUAACAGCUCACUGAUCAAGCGCCUCUGCGCGGAAAAUGUAUCGGGACUAAAGUUAUUCGCCGAAAUUGCGGACUCG